Molecule: long non-coding RNA, 307 nt
Filed under: Elaeis guineensis (African oil palm)
Lineage: Eukaryota; Viridiplantae; Streptophyta; Magnoliopsida; Arecales; Arecaceae
Description: long non-coding RNA (EGUI_LNC068337)
Source: RNAcentral
GCAUCUGAUUCCAAGAAAGAGUCUAUUGGAAUAAAAGGUCUAUAUGAGAAUGAGCAAAAGAAGAAUCUUCUCAAGAAGAAGGCGUCAAGCAAGGGAAAAUAUUUCCACUAUAAUGCCGACAGCCACACGGAGAGAAAUUGUCCUUCUACCUAGAUAGCCUAAAGAAAAAAGUGACACACCUUGUGAAAGUCUGUCAGAUCUGUUUGUUUGCAUGUUAAUGUAUUCAAGCAAAUAGUGAGUGCCACAGGAUCUGAGAGAUCUAAGGAUGAGAUAAACCAUAAGUAUAGGUGGUACCUAAGAUUAGGUC